This 261-nucleotide unclassified non-coding RNA is filed under the name Hyphodermella rosae. RNAcentral's name for it is "partial internal transcribed spacer region". The stretch from base 1 to 46 matches the Rfam family "Eukaryotic small subunit ribosomal RNA", at positions 1786 to 1831 of the family's 1831-position model. Lineage: Eukaryota; Fungi; Basidiomycota; Agaricomycetes; Polyporales; Phanerochaetaceae. The record is from RNAcentral.
AAGUCGUAACAAGGUUUCCGUAGGUGAACCUGCGGAAGGAUCAUUAACGAGUUUUGAAAGGGGUUGUCGCUGGCCUUUCACGAGGCAUGUGCACACCCUGCUCAUCCACUCUCAACCUCUGUGCACUUAUUGUAGGUCGGUGGAAGGCUCGCAAGAGCUGGAAGCUUGCUUAUGUUUUACUACAAACGCUUCAGUUAUAGAAUGUUUACUUGCGUAUAACGCAUUUAUAUACAACUUUCAGCAACGGAUCUCUUGGCUCUC